This 1524-nucleotide ribosomal RNA is filed under the name Triticum aestivum (bread wheat). RNAcentral describes it as "partial small subunit ribosomal RNA". The record is from RNAcentral. Lineage: Eukaryota; Viridiplantae; Streptophyta; Magnoliopsida; Poales; Poaceae.
AUGGAUAAGGACGUGCAUGUAGUGGUUUUUGGAGCCGAGCAUUGUGGCUGGCUUGUGAGUGUGUCCAUUGGAGCUAGCUUGGGUAUAAAAAGCCCCCUGUGUACUCGAUGUAAAAGUGUUGCGGAAAUACCGCUGAUCGCUCAAAACAUUAGAUCGCUGGGAUCGGGAGAUCGGGUUGCUGGCCUGCUGCUCCCUGGCACGCGCCUGCCUCUGGUUCAUCUUGGGUGUCGUCCCCUUGCCGGAGGCGUGCCGGCGGUGGCGGCGUUCGCCGGUGGCUGCGCGGUGAAGCUCCGGGCCGUGUGUCGACCUGUGGAGGUGCGCGGCGCUGUGGCUGCCAUGGCGAACGCGGAUGCGACAUGCGGUGAGUCCAUGGCGUGUGGUGUGGUCGGGCUCGUCGGGCGCGUCGGGUGCGCGCGGGACGUGCGGGACGCACUGGUGCAGUCGGGCACGUCUGGGGCGUGCGGGACGUGCGGGGCGCCGAGGGACGUCAGGCGUGUGUCGCCGGUGGAGGAGGAGCUCGGCGUAUGUCGCCGGAGACGUGACGGAGCACAGUGGGACCGACGUGAGUGCGUCAGGUCGGGUCCGUGGCGGUGUGACCGGCGUCGUGGAGCCGAGCAUUGUGGCUGGCUUGUGAGUGUGUGCAUUGGAGCUAGCUUGGGUAUAAAAAGCCCCCCGUGUACUCGAUGUAAAAGUGUUGUGGUAUGUGCCGAGCCAGAGUUCGUUCUCAAUGAAAAAUUCGGCUGUUCGUGCGGCCGAGCUGCCGUUCGUGCGGCGGGGCGUAUGUGCGCCGGAAAUAUCGGUGUCCCUUUUCUUCCACCUACGUCCGAGCGAGUGAUACGUGUUGGCAGACCACCCCUGAAGCGGCCGCUGUGUGAUGGCAGGGUGUGCGUACUGGAGAAGAGCUUCAGGGGAUUUGCUAAAGAAGAACAGAGGUGUGAGAAGAGCCGACUGAGCGUCAAUUGGAUGAAGUGUAUGCAGGAAAUCGUCUGUGUCUGCUCGGGUGAGGAGAUAACAUGUGAAUGUGGGAAUUCUGAGCACAUGGGACUGCUGUGCUACAUGCUGUUAAGAUUCCUUGGAAACACAUUCUAUAAUGUUGGACGAGGGAUGCCAGGAAUAUCCUGCCGGAUCACCUUGCUCGCCUUCAGAAAGGCAAUUUGGCAAACAACUCUAAAAGGGGUGCAAUUGAAGAAGCGCAAUGGUGUGACGAAAGCGACAGGCACAGCUGAGUGCGGUACAAGCAAAUGCGCGCACUUCUGCGGUAUAUGCCGGCAACCAGGACACAGAAGUACAGCUUGUCCUCAGAGGGGCGACCUCCCUCUGAAACCAGAGAAGGAAUCCAAAUGCUCAAACCGUGGAGUCGGCAGCCAUCGUAAGAACAUGUGCAGCAAAGCGGAAGUUGUACAACAUGUUGUAGAUGAUGUCAACGUGGAUGAUCUCUGCCUGGGCUCGGCUUUUCCUCCUUUGGUUUGGAUGUUUUAUGUGGAUGAACUUCAAUUUUUUCCCAGUUGGGUGAGCGCUCCGUAG